Molecule: non-coding RNA, 21 nt
Filed under: Caenorhabditis elegans
Lineage: Eukaryota; Metazoa; Nematoda; Chromadorea; Rhabditida; Rhabditidae
Source: RNAcentral
UACUGCUUCUUUGUAUAGGAC